Molecule: ribosomal RNA, 501 nt
Filed under: uncultured bacterium
Lineage: Bacteria
Description: partial 16S ribosomal RNA
Rfam family: Bacterial small subunit ribosomal RNA
Source: RNAcentral
AUUGAACGCUGGCGGCAUGCCUUACACAUGCAAGUCGAACGGCAGCACGGGUGCUUGCACCUGGUGGCGAGUGGCGAACGGGUGAGUAAUACAUCGGAACGUACCUUAUCGUGGGGGAUAACGCAGCGAAAGCUGUGCUAAUACCGCAUACGCCCUGAGGGGGAAAGCGGGGGAUCGCAAGACCUCGCGCGAUUAGAGCGGCCGAUGCCUGAUUAGCUUGUUGGUGGGGUGAAAGCCCACCAAGGCGACGAUCAGUAGCUGGUCUGAGAGGACGAUCAGCCACACUGGGACUGAGACACGGCCCAGACUCCUACGGGAGGCAGCAGUGGGGAAUUUUGGACAAUGGGGGCAACCCUGAUCCAGCAAUGCCGCGUGAGUGAGGAAGGCCUUCGGGUUGUAAAGCUCUUUUGUCAGGGAAGAAACACCGGCUCUAACACAGUCUGGGAAUGACGGUACCUGAAGAAUAGGCACCGGCUAACUACGUGCCAGCCGCCGCGGUAA